RNAcentral lists this long non-coding RNA (221 nucleotides) under Lathyrus oleraceus (garden pea). RNAcentral's name for it is "Pisum sativum (pea) long non-coding RNA (PSAT_LNC000294)". The record is from RNAcentral. Lineage: Eukaryota; Viridiplantae; Streptophyta; Magnoliopsida; Fabales; Fabaceae.
AAAUGUUGGGAAGCUAUGAAUAAUAUUUUGAGGUUACAAUUGGGAAACAUUAGAGCUUCUUUUCAAAAGAGUUUUUACGAAGUUGAGCACGCGCACAUAAGUCCAUUUUAUGGUUAUUUGCGUGGUUCCGUAUCUCGAGCUGCUUUGAGACGUAUUGCUGAAGAGUUAUUGAGAGUUGAUUAUGUUGGAACUAACAGGAAAAUAUGUGGUUGUACUCUUAG